RNAcentral lists this long non-coding RNA (268 nucleotides) under Musa acuminata (dwarf banana). RNAcentral describes it as "long non-coding RNA (MACU_LNC000829)". Lineage: Eukaryota; Viridiplantae; Streptophyta; Magnoliopsida; Zingiberales; Musaceae. The record is from RNAcentral.
GAGAGAAUCCUUUGGGACUCUGUUUCUAAAGGUCGAGAGAUAAGAAUGCCCUUUCCUUGGCUAGUGAAGCCUAAACCUUAACUACAGUUAACUAUGUUACAACUCACUCGUAUAGGCUAACUAACCUACAGUUGACUAUGUUACAACUCACUCGUAUAGGCUAACUAACCUAGCCAUUUGGAAUUAACAUUGCCUAAAACUGCAUUACACACAAUAAUUAAGUCAACGUUAUCAUUAGUAAAUCCAUCUAAAUCCUAUACACUAAAAU